UACGUAGGGGCCGAGCGUUGUCCGGAGUUAUUGGGCGUAAAGAGCUCGUAGGCGGUGUGUCGCGUCGGCCGUGAAAACCUGGGGCUUAACUCUGGGCUUGCGGUCGAUACGGGCAUCACUGGAGUUCGGCAGGGGAGACUGGAAUUCCUGGUGUAGCGGUGAAAUGCGCAGAUAUCAGGAGGAGCACCGGUGGCGAAGGCGGGUCUCUGGGCCGAUACUGACGCUGAGGAGCGAAAGCAUGGGGAGCGAACAGG
RNAcentral lists this ribosomal RNA (254 nucleotides) under uncultured bacterium. RNAcentral's name for it is "partial 16S ribosomal RNA". It matches the Rfam family "Bacterial small subunit ribosomal RNA", at positions 524 to 776 of the family's 1533-position model. The record is from RNAcentral.